Long non-coding RNA from Astatotilapia calliptera (eastern happy), 552 nucleotides. Lineage: Eukaryota; Metazoa; Chordata; Actinopteri; Cichliformes; Cichlidae. The record is from Ensembl.
UUUUAGGUGUUCCCUUUUUUCCUUGUUAAUUGCGUAGAAUGAGGCACAGAGUGAACCUCAGCCAAGACCGGUGCGCUGGAAAACACGUGACAGACAGACAGGGAGAUUUUAUUCUUCAAAGACCAUCAACCAGUCGAUGUACUAGUUGCAUGCCACGUGUGUCCAGAGAGCAGCAUCAAUGUCCACGUGAAGAACCUAGUUAUGUUGCCAGUGUCAACCCAACAAAAGUGUAUGGAACUGAGGUGCUUCGUCAGGAGCUCCUUCAGUUGUUGGAGGAUGGAGAAGAGGACGCAGCCAUGACUUGUGAGACGUCGUCUGAGUCAGCUGCUACUCACUGGGCGAUCAGAAAUAUGGUGUCCUCGCAAAAGUGGAAAGAGGCCAGGCCUUGUCUUAUAGAUAAUAUGUUAGCUACUCUGGAUCCACAGUCACACCGUGUGUGUCAGUGUGGCAAACAAGUAGUUGUGAGGUGUCUGGACUGCCUGCCUCUCCCAUUCCUUUGUGCUGACUGUGAUAUUGCAGUUCACACACGCUUUGUCCUGCACAACAGAGAGG